AGAGUUUGAUCCUGGCUCAGGAUGAACGCUAGCGGCAGGCCUAAUACAUGCAAGUCGAACGGUAGGUUUUGUAGCAAUACGGAACUGAGAGUGACGUAAGGGUGCGUAACACGUAUGCAAUCUGCCCUCAACAGGAGUAUAGCUCGGGGAAACUCGGAUUAACCCUCCAUAAUAUUGCGAGGUGGCAUCACCGCGCAAUUAAAACGCAAGUGGUUGAGGAUGAGUAUGCGCAUGAUUAGUUAGUUGGUAGGGUAACGGCCUACCAAGACGAUGAUCAUUAGGGGAACUGAGAGGUUGAUCCCCCACACUGGCACUGAGAUACGGGCCAGACUCCUACGGGAGGCAGCAGUAGGGAAUAUUGGUCAAUGGGUGAGAGCCUGAACCAGCCAUGCCGCGUGCAGGAAGACGGCCUUCUGGGUUGUAAACUGCUUUUAUCUGGGGAUAAAAUGGUCUUGCGAGACCAAUUGAAGGUACCAGAUGAAUAAGCACCGGCUAACUACGUGCCAGCAGCCGCGGUAAUACGUAGGGUGCAAGCGUUGUCCGGAUUUAUUGGGUUUAAAGGGUGCGUAGGCGGCCUGUUAAGUCGGUGGUGAAAUCCAACAGCUCAACUGUUGAUGUGCCAAUGAUACUGACGGGCUUGAGUACAGACGAGGUAGGCGGAAUUGACAGUGUAGCGGUGAAAUGCAUAGAUAUAGGAAGGAAUACCAGUGGCGAAGGCGGCCUCCUGGAUCGAUACUGACGCUGAGGCGCGAAAGCGUGGGGAGCAAACAGGAUUAGAUACCCUGGUAGUCC
This 792-nucleotide ribosomal RNA is filed under the name uncultured bacterium. RNAcentral's name for it is "bacterial SSU rRNA". It matches the Rfam family "Bacterial small subunit ribosomal RNA", at positions 8 to 796 of the family's 1533-position model. The record is from RNAcentral.